GGGGACCCGCACAAGCGGUGGAUGAUGUGGAUUAAUUCGAUGCAACGCGAAGAACCUUACUACCCUUGACAUGUCCGGAACUUGCCAGAGAUGGCUUGGUGCCCGAAAGGGAAUCGGAACACAGGUGCUGCAUGGCUGUCGUCAGCUCGUGUCGUGAGAUGUUGGGUUAAGUCCCGCAACGAGCGCAACCCUUAUCAUUAGUUGCUACGCAAGGGCACUCUAAUGAGACUGCCGGUGACAAACCGGAGGAAGUGGGGAUGACGUCAAGUCCUCAUGGCCCUUAUGGGUAGGGCUUCACACGUCAUACAAUGGUCGGUACAGAGGGUUGCCAAGCCGCGAGGCGGAGCCAAUCCCACAAAGCCGAUCGUAGUCCGGAUUGUUCUCUGCAACUCGAGAGCAUGAAGUCGGAAUCGCUAGUAAUCGCAGGUCAGCAUACUGCGGUGAAUACGUUCCCGGGUCUU
RNAcentral lists this ribosomal RNA (461 nucleotides) under uncultured Thiobacillus sp. RNAcentral describes it as "bacterial SSU rRNA". It matches the Rfam family "Bacterial small subunit ribosomal RNA", at positions 915 to 1382 of the family's 1533-position model. Lineage: Bacteria; Pseudomonadati; Pseudomonadota; Betaproteobacteria; Nitrosomonadales; Thiobacillaceae. The record is from RNAcentral.